Bos taurus (domestic cattle) is the source of this 2299-nucleotide long non-coding RNA. NCBI's taxonomy places the organism in Eukaryota, Metazoa, Chordata, Mammalia, Artiodactyla, Bovidae. The record is from Ensembl.
CAUGCCUCUGUCUUGCCUUUGAAUGAGCACUCCUCUGAGCAGGGCCUGGCAGUCUUCUUUUGUGUAUCUCCAGUGUCUAGCACAGCGUUGGGCAUUGUGGCAGCGCUCACUAAGUGUCUGUGCGAUGAGUGAAUGAAUGAAUGAAUAUCUAGGGUGGCAAUCUGCUGCUACUCCUCAUUCUGUCCUAAAAUGUCACCGAGACCAUUCUAAUAGUAAGCCAAUGCCUGUUUUCCCAUUAGGGUGGUAUUUCCAGCCUUUCUUUCUUUCUUUUUUUUUUUUCCAAUUUAAAAAUGGUAUUUAUUUGUUUGGCUGUGCCAGGGCUUUAGUUGUGGCACGCAGAUUCUUAGUUGCAACAUGUGGGCUCUAGUUUCCCCACCGGGAAUCAAACCCAGGCCUCCUGCAUUGGGAAUGUGGAGUCUUUUUAGCCACUUGCAUCACCAGGGAAGUCCCUUCCCUUUCUUCUUGAAUACCUACCACGCCAAGCCCUUCUAGGUGCCAGGAAUACAAGCAUGAGCAAAAGCUGAUUCCAGCUCCUGAGGAGCCCAGUCACCGAUAUUAGGGCAAUAGGCACAAAUGGUCACCACGCGGUAUAAUAGACUCUAUACAAGCACAAAGGCGCCUUCGUCAUAUGGAAGAAGUCAUCUGAGAGCUGAGUCUUUUAAAGGCUCAGCUCCUAGCUGGGGAGGAGGAGCCCCUGGUGGGGCUGGCGUCAGCCUCUGGAAGCUGCCCCUAAGCCCAAGCCCUCGCUGGCCAACAGCCCAGCUCCCCCGGCGCCUGAAGAGGGUCUGCGGACGCACAGUGCUUCCGGCUGCCCUUGCUAGUGGCUCUCCGGCUGUGCUGUCAGAGCUGGUACAGAACCUCCAUUCAAGGGCAAGCCCUGAUGACUCCAGCAGCCAGACAGAGGCAGAGGGACCUACGAAUUCGGCAGAGAGGGAAGUGCAUCCAGCCUUCAAUCCACCAGAUCUGGCUAUUCCCUUUCAAAGACAGAUCGCCUUUUGUGGUGUGUUUUCUGCUGCUAAUACAACAUGAAGACAGAAACAUGAAAGAAAAAGAACAAAAGGGCCAGAGAUGAGUGGGUCAGUAAAGCCCGGGUGAGGCCAGGAGGAUGACUGAGACGCGGAGACAGACAAGGAGCCGCAGAUGGAGAUGCACUCUUGGGAGAGAUGAGAAGAUACAGGGCGUGAGGAAAAGCAGCCUCGGGGAAGGAAAAGGCAGAGAGCGAAAACCAACAAAAGCGUAAUAAAUCCGAAAACCAGAAGGGCCUGAAGAGAAACUGUCCAGAGAGAAGGGGUGUGAGGUCAGAAGGGAGAAGCAGGAGGGGUGGGGAUGGAGGCCGAGGAAUGGCGCAACAGAAAUCUCUCAGGAAGGGUCACUCACCUCCCGGAGCUGUCGGGCUUGUUGGCUGCAGCGAGCCGAAUCUAUUUAAAAACACACCAGGCAUUUUGCCUCGUUCUGUUUCCCUGCCCAGAAAGGGCUGGAGCCAGAGGCUCAGGGAACCGUUCCAGCCUUAGGACCCUGCACGGGCCACAGGGCUGAAGACCCGCUUGCCCUUUCUGGGAAUCACCCACCUUCGCUUGCGAGUUGCGGGGGCCACUCAACGCGCAGCAUCCUGAUGGCAGUCCCUAAGGUUACCGGUGUCAUCCGCUUCCCACUGGGAAAGACUCGACCAUGUCCUUCAUUCUGUCUUCAAGCUAGUUGAAAAGCAGAUGCUGCUCAAAUGGACAGCUGCUCUAAAGGGAUGCUCCAAGAGAGCUCCCUGACCCGUGGGAAUACACUUAACGAUGACUGGAGGGGCCUGGGGUGGAUUGGAUUACAGCGAGACAAAGUAGAGAAUGUGAAAGGACAUCAAGGAUAAAAUGGCCCUGGGGAAACCAUAUGGGACUUGAAUGGGAAAAACCUGUGCAUCUUUUGGAACGCUCUGACCUGGAGAUGAUCCGACUCCUCAUCCACCUGGCACAGAGGGGUACAAAAUUAGAAGUGGCUAGGAGUAGUGGCCAAGGAAAGCCAUCCGUGCAGACUUUGUUUUCUCCCCUGCUGAGAGGGUGGGUCUGAGAGGUUCUUCCUUCCCUGGCUCUGGAGCCCAUUAUAUUGUGUAAAAUACUUUUCAAGGCUGAAUAUAAGUCCUCUGCUCUGCAUGAGAUUUACAUUCUUGAGAAACUUAGUGUACAAAUCACACCAAAUUUUGCUUGCCACAGGAGUUGGCUUUUCAAAAUAAAUUUGAGGUCAGCCCUAUGUUUAAAAAGGAUGGCUUUUGAAGGUGAAUAAUCAUCCUGGUUCAUGUUUGUAACUUUGGAAUUUU